Zonotrichia albicollis (white-throated sparrow) is the source of this 1044-nucleotide non-coding RNA. The record is from RefSeq and is a predicted model, not a curated record. Lineage: Eukaryota; Metazoa; Chordata; Aves; Passeriformes; Passerellidae.
AACUGGCAAAGAGAAAUGGACCUGGUGGGACUGCACCUCCUCUCACAGCCUCUGAAGGAAGAGGAAGUACUGCCUAUGUUGGCCUUGCAAGACCCUGCUUGCCCUAUGGAGUAAGAGGAAUUACCCAUCUGAGUAGAGGAUUUGUCAUUGUCAAAAGGCUGUGAGGCUUUAAAUCACCCAGACCAUUAAGAAUGCUACCUACACUACCUACCCUUACAUGUGGCUUUGGUUGGCAAGCACAUCUGAGCAACUGUACUGUAUGAAACCAACAACAAUUUGUCCUGAUUCAUGGUUUAGGAGGAACAGCUGAUUAAUCCCAUGUCAACAGUCUUGACCCUAUGCAGAAAAUACAAACACAGAAGAUCUGCUUAACAAUAUAUCAAAGUGUCAAGCAACCAGCGUGUCACCAUCAUGUUUUUCUGUAUGUCAUCCGGACACAAAAAGGACUGUAUGCAUUUGUUCAUUGGUUUAGGCUCAUCUGCCCCUGAACUGAGAGACCUGUACAGCACAGCAAUCCCAUAAAGCAAAAACACCUUGAUUCUUUCCAUAAAAUGCUUAACUGUCACGGCUCAGUGCUGUAAGUGCUGACUCAUGUGAGUAGGCUUUACUCUUCCGAGAAGACUUAUUAGCUUCAGUCCGACCAUUUAUCCUAACGAGAGCUUUCAGAUUUGGGUCCUUCCAGAAAGGUGGUCAAAGAUUAUCUUUUCAGGGUGUAAGAUUUAUACAGGAUAUCCUUUUCAGUCCUUAACAUUCAAAAGGUUUCCAGUCAUCCCACAAACGUGCAUACUAAAAAAAACCAAUUCCUCCACUUAUGCUUCUGUUAAAGUAUGAACAUACAAUACCUGGUUUAUAUUAGUCUAUCUAAAAUUGCUGGGUAAACUGGGUGAAAUAAAAUAUAUAUAACAGUCUUUUAAAAUGUGAUCAAGGCAAGAGAGAACAGAGCAUUUCCAUUUUUAGUAGUGAAGAACAGUGACUCUUCCAAGGCAGUUUGGAAAUACUAAUGAAAUUUUAAGGUCUUCUUUUCUAUAUGGUACCUCCAGAAAA